Molecule: ribosomal RNA, 1399 nt
Filed under: Lacticaseibacillus paracasei
Lineage: Bacteria; Bacillati; Bacillota; Bacilli; Lactobacillales; Lactobacillaceae
Description: bacterial SSU rRNA
Rfam family: Bacterial small subunit ribosomal RNA
Source: RNAcentral
GCUCAGGACGACCUGCGCGUGCCUAAUACAUGCAGUCGACGAUUCUCGUGUGAUCGUGCUGCACCGAGACCCCAUAAACGAGUGCGAACUGUGAGUACACGUGGAAUCUGCAGAAGCAGGGGAUAACACUUGGAAACAGAUGCUAAUACCGCAUAGAUCCAAGAUCCGCAUGGUUCUUGUCUGAAAGAUGGCGUAAGCUAUCGCUUUUGGAUGGACCCGCGGCGUAUUAGCUAGUUGGUGAGGUAAUGGCUCACCAAGGCGAUGAUACGUAGCCGAACUGAGAGGUUGAUCGGCCACAUUGGGACUGAGACACGGCCCAAACUCCUACGGGAGGCAGCAGUAGGGAAUCUUCCACAAUGGACGCAAGUCUGAUGGAGCAACGCCGCGUGAGUGAAGAAGGCUUUCGGCUCGUAAAACUCUGUUGUUGGAGAAGAAUGACUCUGUGAGAGUAACUGUUGUCGGCGUGACGGUAUCUUAACCAGAAAGCCACGGCUAACUACGUGCCAGCAGCCGCGGUAAUACGUAGGUGGCAAGCGUUAUCCGGAUUUAUUGGGCGUAAAGCGAGCGCAGGCGGUUUUUUAAGUCUGAUGUGAAAGCCCUCGGCUUAACCGAGGAAGCGCAUCGGAAACUGGGAAACUUGAGUGCAGAAGAGGACAGUGGAACUCCAUGUGUAGCGGUGAAAUGCGUAGAUAUAUGGAAGAACACCAGUGGCGAAGGCGGCUGUCUGGUCUGUAACUGACGCUGAGGCUCGAAAGCAUGGGUAGCGAACAGGAUUAGAUACCCUGGUAGUCCAUGCCGUAAACGAUGGGUUGUAGUUGUUGGAGGGUUUCCGCCCUUCAGUGCCGCAGCUAACGCAUUAAGCACUCCGCCUGGGGAGUACGACCGCAAGGUUGAAACUCAAAGGAAUUGACGGGGGCCCGCACAAGCGGUGGAGCAUGUGGUUUAAUUCGAAGCAACGCGAAGAACCUUACCAGGUCUUGACAUCUUUUGAUCACCUGAGAGAUCAGGUUUCCCCUUCGGGGGCAAAAUGACAGGUGGUGCAUGGUUGUCGUCAGCUCGUGUCGUGAGAUGUUGGGUUAAGUCCCGCAACGAGCGCAACCCUUAUGACUAGUUGCCAGCAUUUAGUUGGGCACUCUAGUAAGACUGCCGGUGACAAACCGGAGGAAGGUGGGGAUGACGUCAAAUCAUCAUGCCCCUUAUGACCUGGGCUACACACGUGCUACAAUGGAUGGUACAACGAGUUGCGAGACCGCGAGGUCAAGCUAAUCUCUUAAAGCCAUUCUCAGUUCGGACUGUAGGCUGCAACUCGCCUACACGAAGUCGGAAUCGCUAGUAAUCGCGGAUCAGCAUGCCGCGGUGAAUACGUUCCCGGGCCUUGUACACACCGCCCGUCACACCA